UGGCAGACGGGUGAAUAACACGUGGGAACCUUCCUCGUGGUACGGAACAACUCAGGGAAACUUGAGCUAAUACCGUAUACGUCCGAGAGGAGAAAGAUUUAUCGCUAUGAGACGGGCCCGCGUCCGAUUAGCUAGUUGGUGGGGUAACGGCCUACCAAGGCAACGAUCGGUAGCUGAUCUGAGAGGAUGAUCAGCCACACUGGGACUGAGACACGGCCCAG
Molecule: ribosomal RNA, 221 nt
Filed under: uncultured bacterium
Lineage: Bacteria
Description: partial 16S ribosomal RNA
Rfam family: Bacterial small subunit ribosomal RNA
Source: RNAcentral